UCUCCUCUACGCAAACGGGAGCACGAGGAAGUCAGCUCUCCUCGCGAAGUACUUCUGUUAGCUCCUCGCUUACAUCACCAUAACGAAUUCGUUCUGCGCCGACACUCCCACUUCGGCCGCGUAACCUCUCGGACUCACAGAGACAUACUCUUCUCGACGACAUAUAAAAAAAAGAGAGAAGCCUCGUUCAAAACAUGGAACCGAUACUAAUAAAACAAGACCUUUUAAAGGGUAGAAGCCCCACAUGAUCUCAACAAGAAAGGGGAAUAAAAUAAAAUAAAAUAUAUUCCAAAAAUCGUAGUUAUCCAUUCAAAAGUAAAAGAAAUAUCAAAGACAAAACAGAAAAGAUCGCUCAGAUCUGAUAAAAAAAAAGUAAAAAGAAAAGAGACAAAAAAAUUUAAGAACUAGCUCCUUCGCCGGAAGACGAGCUCACGGGUGCAUCAUUGACAACCGAGUCCUCAGAGAUUUGAGGAAGGUCGAGAUCUGCCACCGACCAAUCCGGAACAGCAGCCAAGCUAGCAGUAACUUCACAAUCCCUCUCCAUUUCUUUUAGACGAACGAUCUCUUCAUCUACCACUAGCCCCUCA
RNAcentral lists this long non-coding RNA (587 nucleotides) under Brassica napus (rape). RNAcentral describes it as "long non-coding RNA (BNAP_LNC015311)". Lineage: Eukaryota; Viridiplantae; Streptophyta; Magnoliopsida; Brassicales; Brassicaceae. The record is from RNAcentral.